UACGGGGGGGGCAAGCGUUGUUCGGAAUUACUGGGCGUAAAGGGCUCGUAGGCGGCCAACUAAGUCGGAUGUGAAAUCCCCAGGCUCAACUUGGGAACUGCAUCCGAUACUGGAUGGCUUGAAUUCGGGAGAGGGAUGCAGAAUUCCAGGUGUAGCGGUGAAAUGCGUAGAUAUCUGGAGGAAUACCAGUGGCGAAGGCGGGUCUCUGGACAGUUCCUGACGCUGAGGCACGAAGGCCAGGGGAGCAAACGGG
RNAcentral lists this ribosomal RNA (253 nucleotides) under uncultured bacterium. Its description in RNAcentral is "partial 16S ribosomal RNA". It matches the Rfam family "Bacterial small subunit ribosomal RNA", at positions 524 to 776 of the family's 1533-position model. The record is from RNAcentral.